This 1582-nucleotide ribosomal RNA is filed under the name Perameles bougainville (western barred bandicoot). Its description in RNAcentral is "16S ribosomal RNA". It matches the Rfam family "Bacterial large subunit ribosomal RNA". The record is from RNAcentral. Lineage: Eukaryota; Metazoa; Chordata; Mammalia; Peramelemorphia; Peramelidae.
GCUAAUUUUAAGCCCUACCAAAUCAAUAAAAUACAAAACUAACUUGUUUAUACUUUAAAACAUUGACUAAUCAUAGUAUAGGUGAUAGAAAAGAUACUAAUGGAGCUAUAACGAAAGUACCGUAAGGGAAAUAUGAAAGAAUAAUUAAAGCACAAAUAAGCAAAGAUUAUUACUUGUACCUUUUGCAUAAUGAAUUAGCUAGACAAACUGGGCAAAAAGAAUUACGUCCAUCUCCCCGAAAUUAAGUGAGCUACUAUAGAACAGCAAAUAAGAGCCAACUCAUCUAUGUAGCAAAAUAGUGAGAAGAUUUUAUAGUAGAGGUGAAAAGCCUAUCGAACUUAAAGAUAGCUGGUUAUCCAAAACAUGAAUUUAAGUUCAACUUUAAAUUUAAUAAACGUAACUAUAUACCAAACUUAAAUUUAAAAGUUAAUCAAAAGGGGGACAACUCUUUUGAUUUAGUAAACAAACUUUAUUAGAGGGUAAUGACACUUAUAUAACAAAAUCAUAGUUGGCUUAAAAGCAGCCAUCAAUUAAGAAAGCGUUAAAGCUCAAAUAACCCAAUACCUUAAUUCCUAUAAAUUACCAAAACCCCUAAAACAAUAUUGGAUAAUUCUAUUAUAAUAUAGAAGACAUAAUGCUAAUAUUAGUAACAUGAACUAAUUCUCCAUGCACAAGUUUAUAUUAGUAACGGAAAAACCACUAAUAAUUAACAAACCAAUAAAUGCAAUCCCAAUACUAGCAAAUUAUUGAAACUAUUGUUAACCCAACACAGGUGUGCACAAAUUACUAUUAUAGGAAAGAUUAAAAAGAAUAAAAGGAACUCGGCAAACUAAAACCCCGCCUGUUUACCAAAAACAUCACCUCUAGAAUUAAUAUUAUUAGAGGCACUGCCUGCCCAGUGAGUUCAACUUCAACGGCCGCGGUAUCCUGACCGUGCAAAGGUAGCAUAAUCACUUGUCUCUUAAAUAGAGACUUGUAUGAAUGGCAUAACGAGGGUUUAACUGUCUCUUAUUCUUAAUCAGUGAAAUUGACCUCUCCGUGCAGAGGCGGAGAUAAACAUACAAGACGAGAAGACCCUGUGGAGCUUAAGACUAAUAAAUUAAUUCAACUCACUAUUAAAUCCAAGGAAGCAAUAUAAUGAAAUAUAACUUAUAGUCUUUGGUUGGGGUGACCUCGGAGUACAAAAUAACCUCCGAAUGAUAUAACUAAGAUUUACAAAUCUAAGUGUAAUAAUACCAGUAAUUGACCCAUAUUUUGAUCAACGGACCAAGUUACCCCAGGGACAACAGCGCAAUCCUAUUUAAGAGCCCAUAUCGACAAUUAGGGUUUACGACCUCGAUGUUGGAUCAGGACAUCCAAAUGGUGCAACCGCUAUUAAUGGUUCGUUUGUUCAACGAUUAAAGUCCUACGUGAUCUGAGUUCAGACCGGAGAAAUCCAGGUCGGUUUCUAUCUGUAUAUUUAUUUCUCCCAGUACGAAAGGACAAGAGAAAUAAGGCCAACAUUAACAGAUGAGCCUUAGAAUUAACAUAUGAAAUUAUCUUAAUAUUCUCAUUCAAUAUUUACCUACUCUAGAAAAGAGUU